CUGGAGCAGCUGUAACUUUUCAUGGGCUCCACAGUUCAGUGAGGGGUGGCAGCAUUCCCAGACAACUCCUGUGUAUUAAUUAUACAUAUAUUUGAGUGCCAAUUGCACCCCAAAUCCAGACUUCCUGGUGCCAGACAACUUGUUCAUUCCCCAAUCAAGUCCACUUUCUCAUGCUUACUCUAUGAAAAGGGCACCCAUGAUAGGGUCGGGGUCCCCCCUCUAGAAUGCAGACCCACACUGGGACCCAAGACCUCCUUACUUGAGAACAGAGAUCUCCCCAGGCUGCCCUCUUGGAAGAACAGAGGGCAGAAGCCUUACUGAGCCAAAUGUCCUGGUAUCUGGAGAAGGGCAAGCGCAACAUCUCAUUUUGAGAGGGGACAAGUGGAGAUAUCCCUGGUUUGGUCAGCUGAACUUGAAGACCAAAGCCAAGAGUAACUCAUUCAAUGCUGGUUACUCAGUGACCCAGGUUCCAAGCAAGUCUCUCACAAAGCUUUAAUGAGUACCUGCCCCUAGAGUAAAGUAAUGAAGACAAUACCAAGUGCUGUAUGGGUCAUGCCUCACUUAACAACAGGGAUAUGAUCUGAGAAAUACAUCUUUAGGCGAUUUUGCCAUUGUAGGGACAUCAUAGAGUACAUUUUCAUAAAUCUAGAUGGUAUGGCCUACCACACACUUAGGCUAUAUGGUCUAGCCUAUUGUUCCUAGGCUCUAAACCUGUGCAGCAUAUUACUACACUGAAUGCUGUAGGCAAUGAUAACAUAACGAAUACCUGCCGGACCCUCGUGGAAUGCCUUGAACCUAUUAUCAGAUGGAGUACUAGUGGCACCUGGGAGAAGUGGGUGAGUAUCAGGUGUGGCUGAAGCCUGCAGAGCUCCUGUGGGGCCACUGAGUGGAAGCACCUGUUCCCAGGCUAAUGAAGCUUUUGCUCAAAGCACUAGUUUGUCUGCCACUGGAUAUUUUAGUCGGUCUACAGAGAAUCAACCCAAGAGUCCUCCGUCCAGUAUAAGAAAAAGAGAGGGAAACAGUGCCCCGUUAGACCAAUGUGUCAAUGGUAGGAUCAGACAUAGAUCCCAAAGGAAGUGAGUCUUGGGUGAAAGCCAAGGCCGUAUGGACCACCCAGUGCCAACUCUGAGGUUCUGAACUUUAUUUUUACUAAGAAAAGGGCAAUUUCCUCACAGCACUAGGCAAAAAUGGAAAGCUAUCCUGGCACACAAGUAUAGAAUGCCACCAGAGACAAGCAGCUGGAAGAAAAAGCCAGGCCACCAGCAACAGAGACAAAGAACUGUGAGCUUGAGAGGCUAUGGCAGAUGGUGAGGGAAGGACAGUGAGGGAGAAAGAGACUCAGAUGCAGCAGAGGCUCAGUGGCUAGACUUAGGACCCAGCCAGGGCUUAUUGCAAAAUAAGCACUUGGUAACUUUUUAUAUCUUUGCCUUGGCAACCAGGAAACUCAAAGUUAAAUUUUAUGCUUCAUUUA
This 1471-nucleotide long non-coding RNA is filed under the name Homo sapiens (human). Its description in RNAcentral is "long non-coding RNA NONHSAT183400". The record is from RNAcentral. Lineage: Eukaryota; Metazoa; Chordata; Mammalia; Primates; Hominidae.